Rattus norvegicus (Norway rat) is the source of this 962-nucleotide long non-coding RNA. RefSeq lists it as uncharacterized. NCBI's taxonomy places the organism in Eukaryota, Metazoa, Chordata, Mammalia, Rodentia, Muridae. The record is from RefSeq and is a predicted model, not a curated record.
UCAAGUGCUGGAUAAGCUGUGCCUGUUGUGUGAGUGAGAAGUAUGCAGUUUGUUUUUUGAUUUUACAGGUGGUUAAAGUUAAGAGAUUGAAUCACAGAUGAGACUUGGGACUUCCAAACAGUGUUGAAGCUGUGAAAGACAUAUGGAAACUUUUGCUGCUGGACUGAAUGAGUUCUAUCUUACGAUAUCGCUACAAGUCCAUGGGGGGGGGGGUGGAAUCUGGUAGUGUGAAUGAGAAUGGCCCCCACAGAUGAAUAUAUUUGAAUGCUAGGUUCUAAAUGAGUGGAACUGUUUGGAAGGAGUUGGAAGUUGGUCUGUAGAGGAGAUAGAUGUAAGCUCUCAAGUGCUGGUCCAGCAUCAUGCCUACCACCAUGCCACACCCUUUGGAACUGUGAGCCCCAAUAUUGCAAACACAAAAUCCCAUGGGAAUCCUGUGAGAGCAGCAGUCACCAGGAAGAGAGACCACGCCAAGGAGAGCAGUAUCAGUGACUGAAAACAGGCUUCCACUGUAGACAGUCGUCACUCCACUACCUGAAACACACCGCACUGGGAAGACAAGCCAACCGUUCCUGACUGCAGGCUACAGACCUUCCCAUCCUGUGUGCCCUUCCAAUCUUGUCCCCAGCAGGUCUCUGCAGCCUUACUCUGCUUAGCUGCCCUCCUCCUCCUCUUCCUCCUUCUCUUCUUCCUCUUCUUCCUCCUCUUCCUCAUCUUCCUCCUCUUCCCCCCUCCUCCUCUUCCUCCUCAACACAAAGGUCCGUUGUGUACCUCACACAUAUUCUGUACAUGUCAACCACGUGCUCCCUGGCUCUGUCGAAGUUAAAGAACAUUCACUCUCAAGGUAAAUGUCAUCUUCUCACAGACGUGUCUGUGGCCCUGAAACAUCAGCGGCUCCCCAAGCAGCACUUUCAGAUUUUAGUUUUAAGUAAAAUUUAAGUAAUAAAUGUGUGAUUGUUAAAAUA